RNAcentral lists this ribosomal RNA (468 nucleotides) under uncultured bacterium. RNAcentral describes it as "partial 16S ribosomal RNA". It matches the Rfam family "Bacterial small subunit ribosomal RNA", at positions 28 to 507 of the family's 1533-position model. The record is from RNAcentral.
GACGAACGCUGGCGGCGUGCUUAACACAUGCAAGUCGAACGGAAAGGCCCUGCUUUUGUGGGGUGCUCGAGUGGCGAACGGAUGAGUAACACGUGAGUAACCUGCCCUUGACUUUGGGAUAACUUCAGGAAACUGGGGCUAAUACCGGAUAGGAGCUCCUGCUGCAUGGUGGGGGUUGGAAAGUUUCGGCGGUUGGGGAUGGACUCGCGGCUUAUCAGCUUGUUGGUGGGGUUGUGGCUUACCAAGGCUUUGACGGGUAGCCGGCCUGAGAGGGUGACCGGCCACAUUGGGACUGAGAUACGGCCCAGACUCCUACGGGAGGCAGCAGUGGGGAAUAUUGCACAAUGGGCGGAAGCCUGAUGCAGCAACGCCGCGUGCGGGAUGACGGCCUUCGGGUUGUAAACCGCUUUCGCCUGUGACGAAGCGUGAGUGACGGUAAUGGGUAAAGAAGCACCGGCUAACUACGUG